CAAAAUGGUGCCGUAACUUCGGGAGAAGGCACGCUGACACGUAGGUGAAGUGAUUUACUCAUGGAGCUGAAGUCAGUCGAAGAUACCAGCUGGCUGCAACUGUUUAUUAAAAACACAGCACUGUGCAAACACGAAAGUGGACGUAUACGGUGUGACGCCUGCCCGGUGCCGGAAGGUUAAUUGAUGGGGUCAGCGCAAGCGAAGCUCCUGAUCGAAGCCCCGGUAAACGGCGGCCGUAACUAUAACGGUCCUAAGGUAGCGAAAUUCCUUGUCGGGUAAGUUCCGACCUGCACGAAUGGCGUAAUGAUGGCCAGGCUGUCUCCACCCGAGACUCAGUGAAAUUGAACUCGCUGUGAAGAUGCAGUGUACCCGCGGCAAGACGGAAAGACCCCGUGAACCUUUACUAUAGCUUGACACUGAACAUUGAGCCUUGAUGUGUAGGAUAGGUGGGAGGCUUUGAAGUGUGGACGCCAGUCUGCAUGGAGCCGACCUUGAAAUACCACCCUUUAAUGUUUGAUGUUCUAACGUGGACCCGUGAUCCGGGUUGCGGACAGUGUCUGGUGGGUAGUUUGACUGGGGCGGUCUCCUCCUAAAGAGUAACGGAGGAGCACGAAGGUUGGCUAAUCCUGGUCGGACAUCAGGAGGUUAGUGCAAUGGCAUAAGCCAGCUUGACUGCGAGCGUGACGGCGCGAGCAGGUGCGAAAGCAGGUCAUAGUGAUCCGGUGGUUCUGAAUGGAAGGGCCAUCGCUCAACGGAUAAAAGGUACUCCGGGGAUAACAGGCUGAUACCGCCCAAGAGUUCAUAUCGACGGCGGUGUUUGGCACCUCGAUGUCGGCUCAUCACAUCCUGGGGCUGAAGUAGGUCCCAAGGGUAUGGCUGUUCGCCAUUUAAAGUGGUACGCGAGCUGGGUUUAGAACGUCGUGAGACAGUUCGGUCCCUAUCUGCCGUGGGCGCUGGAGAACUGAGGGGGGCUGCUCCUAGUACGAGAGGACCGGAGUGGACGCAUCACUGGUGUUCGGGUUGUCAUGCCAAUGGCACUGCCCGGUAGCUAAAUGCGGAAGAGAUAAGUGCUGAAAGCAUCUAAGCACGAAACUUGCCCCGAGAUGAGUUCUCCCUGAGACUUUAGGUCUCCUGAAGGAACGUUGAAGACGACGACGUUGAUAGGCCGGGUGUGUAAGCGCAGCGAUGCGUUGAGCUAACCGGUACUAAUGAACCGUGAGGCUUAACCUUACA
Molecule: ribosomal RNA, 1233 nt
Filed under: Salmonella enterica
Lineage: Bacteria; Pseudomonadati; Pseudomonadota; Gammaproteobacteria; Enterobacterales; Enterobacteriaceae
Also listed under: 1 other name
Description: partial 23S ribosomal RNA
Rfam family: Bacterial large subunit ribosomal RNA
Source: RNAcentral